Symphalangus syndactylus (siamang) is the source of this 2575-nucleotide long non-coding RNA. RefSeq lists it as uncharacterized. Lineage: Eukaryota; Metazoa; Chordata; Mammalia; Primates; Hylobatidae. The record is from RefSeq and is a predicted model, not a curated record.
UGUAAGACUUCAGUGCCUUGCUUCCCCUUUGCCUUCCGCCACGAUUGUAAGUUUCCUGAGGGCUCCCCAGCCAUUUGGAACUCACGGUUAUGGCAAAGGAGCUAUCCUGUACCAACACGGAAGGAGACAGUGGAAAAGGACCCCACAGAAAUGGAGGGAAUGAUAUUGACACAAAAAUGGCAACAAGAUCUAACUCCAGCAUCAAACUGAAGUAACAGCAGCUGCAGCAACUAAGGGCCUCAAAAUUACAGCCUUCAAAGUGCCAUCCAUAGCCUGCCGACUGGUUUAGUAAGCUGAAUGAAUCAGAGUUCUGCAGAGAAAACAGAUUCAAUAGAACCAAUAUACAAAGAGACUCACUGGAAGCUAUUGGAACAAAAUUAUGGAGGCUGAAAAGUUCCGUGAUCUGCUGUCUGCAAGCUGGAGACCCAGGAGAGCCGGUGGUGUAGUUCAGAAGCCUGAGAGCCAGAAAGCUAAUGGUGUAGCUUCCAGUCUGCAUCUAAGGCCGGAGAUCCAAGACGGCUGGGGGCCAGAGCAGAUCGAUAUCCCAGCUCAUACAGUCAAGCAGAUAGCAAAUUUAAUCUUCUUCUGUCUUUUUGUUCUAUACUCACUGCAUUGGAUGAUGCCUGCCACCCGCCCCCUGCCCCAAAUUAGAGAGGACCAUUUGCUUUACUCAGUCCACCAACUUAAAUGCACAUCUCUUCUGGAAACUCCCUCACAGAUGCACCCAUAAAUAAUGGUUAACCACCUAUUUGGGUAUCUUUGACCCAAUCAAGUUGACAAACAAAAUUAACCAUCACAUAUACCCUGAUCCAUAAUCAUUUGCGCUGUGAUUUCCUCUUCGCAACUCUGUAGGCACUUUUCCUUAUAAUCUCUGACAAGCAUUGGCAUGAUUUGGAAACAGCAUUAUAGCCUUUAAAAAGAGCGGAUGUGGAUAAAUAGCCUUUUCUAUUUCCUGUAUUGUUUUUUCCUUUCACAGCACUCCAUUGGCCAGAAAUUUUGACAGCUACAUGGGUUUAAACAUGUUAUGAAUAAAAAUUCCUUUUAGUCCCAGAAAAAUGAGUUUGUAUGUAUCUUCUUGAGCCUGAGGAGGUGAUGAGGGGUAGUGGAAAAAGCUGGAUGAGGAGUGAGUUGAGCUGUGGUCUUGUUUCAAUCCCCACCCCGCCAUCUCUGGACUGUAGGCAAGUCCCAGACUCCCUCCUGUCAUCCUACCCCGCAUUCAUGGAAUAAGAAUGAACUCUUUCACCUCUCAGAUUUUGUCAGGGUCUAGCAUUCUUUGUUUACAUGUAAUAAUGGCUGCUGGAUACUGAGCACUUAUCUGAACCAGACACUUUGUGGGGACCUACAAGGGUCACCCUUUUAAUUUACCCAUCAGAUCUGGAAGGUGAGGGCAUUAUUUACCAGUAAAGAAACUAAGGCUUAACAAGUUAAGCAACUGUCCUAAGGAAGACACCUUCUCUUUGACUGGAUCCUAAUGAAUGGGCUAAUUCAUUUCUGAAGAAGUGGAACAGAGGUUUCAGAACAGAGACAGAGAUCAGCUGGAAGGGUUUCUCAACAAACCUUUUGUUUCUUUUCCUUCCUUUGCUUUAUCUUUCUUAGCCCUCAGGUGGGCAGAAUUGAGUCAACUCUUCUUUUCAUGACUCAUUAGCGACACUCGUCUAUGUAAAGCCCCUCAUAUUAUUUUCAUAUUUUUCCUCUUCAUCCCCUGUAUCACACCCCCCCCGCUAUGUGCACUGCUAUGUGUAUUUAAUCUAGGUCUUUGCAAUCCACUUUCCCUGUAUUUAUUUAGACAAAUAUGCCCUUGAAAAAUAAUGUUAUUUAGUGUCAGUGGUUUUGAUUUACAUAAAUGCUAUGCAGCUUCUAAUCUCAUCCUUUUAUUCUUUUUGCACUCAACACUAUAUUUUGAGAUCCCAUCCGUGUUGUUCUGUGUAAAUAAAUCUUGUUCAUUAUGUGUGAUGAACUCAUAGUAUUCCAUACAUCAUAUCACAUAUUUUCCUUAUCAAUUUCCCUCAUCAACAGUCAUGUAGAUUGCCUUCAGAUCAUUGUUACCACAAACAGUCUGGGAUGUGCAUCUUCUGAUAUGUCUUUGUACCCACUGAUAUUGAAUUAAUUUGAAUUGUAUGCCCAGGAAUUGGAUUGUUGGCUCGCAGUGUGUAUGCAGUCAUAAUUUCACCAGGUUUUGCCAGGUUGCUUUCUAGAAAGGCUGCACCUCUUUAAGCUUCCCCCAGUCAUGUAUGAGGUUUACAACUCCCUAUAUCCUCACUAGCACUUGUUAUGGUCUGACUUUCUAAUUUUUACCAAUCUCUACAUUUUAAAUGGUGUAUCAUUUUUUAUUUCAUUUGUAUUUAUCUGAUUGCCAGUGAGGUAGAACAUUCUUCAUAUAAUUUUUAGCCAUGUGGUUUUCCUCCUUUGAUUGGCCUAGCCAUACCUUUGCCCGUAUUUUUAUUCUUGCUGUUUCCUAACUUUGCUGGUUUGCAGAAUUAUGACUUUCUAAUUUGCCUGAUUACCUCAUAGGGUGAAUUUUUCUCCCCAAAUUCCUGCUUUGAACUUCACUUUCAAUAUUGACUUAACUGCACUA